UGGGGAAUAUUGCACAAUGGGCGCAAGCCUGAUGCAGCCAUGCCGCGUGUAUGAAGAAGGCCUUCGGGUUGUAAAGUACUUUCAGUCGGGAGGAAGGUGGUAAGGUUAAUAACCUUAUCAAUUGACGUUACCGACAGAAGAAGCACCGGCUAACUCCGUGCCAGCAGCCGCGGUAAUACGGAGGGUGCAAGCGUUAAUCGGAAUUACUGGGCGUAAAGCGCACGCAGGCGGUUGAUUGAGUCAGAUGUGAAAUCCCCGGGCUUAACCCGGGAAUUGCAUCUAAUACUGGUCAGCUGGAGUCUUGUAGAGGGGGGUAGAAUUCCAUGUGUAGCGGUGAAAUGCGUAGAGAUGUGGAGGAAUACCGGUGGCGAAGGCGGCCCCCUGGACAAAGACUGACGCUCAGGUGCGAAAGCGUGGGGAGCAAACAGG
RNAcentral lists this ribosomal RNA (429 nucleotides) under Chloroflexota bacterium. RNAcentral's name for it is "Chloroflexi bacterium partial 16S ribosomal RNA". It matches the Rfam family "Bacterial small subunit ribosomal RNA", at positions 355 to 776 of the family's 1533-position model. Lineage: Bacteria; Bacillati; Chloroflexota. The record is from RNAcentral.